Molecule: long non-coding RNA, 804 nt
Filed under: Marmota monax (woodchuck)
Lineage: Eukaryota; Metazoa; Chordata; Mammalia; Rodentia; Sciuridae
Source: RNAcentral
AUAUAUUUUAUUUAAAAAUCAAUUAAAGCAAGUUCUGAAUCUGUAACUACUGUCUUUAAAAGAAUGUUUCUAAGAACUAGCUCUCCAGAGCUGUAAUUUUAAAUACGGCAAUUUUAACAGUACAUUUUAAGAGGUUUAAGAUUUAAAUAAAAUUAUAAAAGCCUGGUACUUUUGUUUACUGCUAGACCAUAUUCUUCCAUUCUUUUAAGUUCUAGAAAGUAAUAGGAUUGUUGAAACCUACAACAUAACAUAUCAUUGUUCUUUUUAUGUCCCCUAAGUAUUCUAAAAAUAGGGGCAAAAGCUUCAGUGUGAAACAAAAUCUCUGUGAAACAAAAUCUCUAAACUACUGAAGAAUUCAAUCUACAUAACCUCCAUUUAAUAUCAGAAGCAGCAGCUGUGUGUAAGAGGAAAACCAUAUAAUAGCUUAUGCCAUUUUUAACCAUGUAAAAUAAAAUUUAAGUCGCAAAUACCAAUUUUGAACGUAUCUUUCAACCUCUACAGGACACAAGGCAAUGCUGAAGUUACUAUAACUUCUAAUUUUAAAAUAGCAUUUAAAUAAAGGUGAUGUCAGUUAGGAAGAUAGAUUUUCAAGGAAAGGCAGAUUUAUUUUUUUAUUCAAAGCAACAGUAGUUUUCCCUCUAAAGCCUCUUUUGUAUUUAUUCUAUUAGUAAGCUAUAAUGCGUUCUACGUAGUUUAUCUGAGCAGUUCUGAACCCACCCAUAGUUGCCUCUCCUUACAUCCAUCUGAUUGUACCACUUCUGUAGCAAAGCCCAAGGUAGCUGCCCAUAUACAGGUUGUGUAGAG